AGCACUCCAUCAUCACGUUCUUCUCCUCACACUCCCAUCGCAUCCAACAAUUUCAUUUGGUCGAGCAAUUGGUCAUGGCGUCCAACAGCGCUCAACUGCUUGCUGCCUUCUCCUUGGCCCUGCUCCUCAUUUCCUCCGGCGCUAAGCUGAAAGAUUGCGCCCGUAUUGAUAUUGGUGAAUGCAACCAACAUAAAUGCAUUACGGCCUGCAUCAAAUUAAACUACAAUACGGCUAUCUGCGAUAACGACGCAGCCAGCGAAGACAGCGGAGGAGACGUUUCCUUGAACGAGAUGGGGUUAUACGGGUCGUGCGUGUGUUGUUAGAUUUUAUUUUAUGGGCUUCCUCUUCUUAAAAUUGUAAACCUUGCCCUGUCAGAUAAUAAAAAUCCAAGGACUCUUCUGGCUCGAAUUUGAUUUCCUUGUCGUGCGCGUGUGUGUACAACCGCGGAUCGUGUCUUCUCCUUUCUCUGUUCUCGUCCGUGUGUGUGUGUUCUUCUCCUUUCUCUAAUCCAUUCCUGCCGCUCUUAUCCAUUCCCCAAUCCCUUGAGAUAGACAGAGAGAGCGAGCGAGACGGAGCUAGCCAGACAGAGUGGUGGUACCCUCCUCCACGGCGAAGAGCUCUAGGAGUGUAGCAAGCGGCUGGGACGGUGAUGCGCACCAAUGGGACGCCGACGGCUUGCGCGUUGGCAACGCCGAGAGAGCAGGAGCGGCCGCGGUGUACUCCAACCGCUGGCUAUGAUGGCGCAGGCGUCAAUCUAAAGCAUCUCGCCGGCGGCCCGGCGCGGCAAGAUGUAGUGAGCGGGAGUGGACGGUGGUGCUCGACCGACGCGGCGAGCUGGAGCCGAAAUCUCGCGGGAGUGAGAGUGCCGAGUGUACCCAGCAAGGGAGGUGAUUCUUGGGUGUUUUUAUUUGCACUUUUUGCAGCCAAUUCCCUCCUGUCGAUGUUGAUAGAAGCAUGUCGUGCUGAGUAGUGGUUGCGUGAUACCGAGGAAGAUUCUGAGCUAAUAUGUAGCGAUAAUCGGUCAGCAAGCAAUACUCGUUUCUGAAAGUUCUUCUUGCAUACUAUACCAUGCUGAAGUAGACAAUGUUCUUGGUUCUGAAGUUCGAUCGCUUGUUUUGUAA
Aegilops tauschii subsp. strangulata is the source of this 1121-nucleotide long non-coding RNA. RefSeq lists it as uncharacterized. The record is from RefSeq and is a predicted model, not a curated record. Lineage: Eukaryota; Viridiplantae; Streptophyta; Magnoliopsida; Poales; Poaceae.